Molecule: long non-coding RNA, 360 nt
Organism: Centrocercus urophasianus (Greater sage-grouse)
Lineage: Eukaryota; Metazoa; Chordata; Aves; Galliformes; Phasianidae
Exons: 2
Source: RefSeq, a predicted model, not a curated record
GGCCGCCCGGCCCGGCCCACACCGCCGGCGAAGGUCAGGAGCGCGGAAGCGGCGCAGCGCGCAUGCGCUGGGAGAGACGAGGAGGCGGGAACAGCCAGCCUGUGGGAAUGGUGCGUUGAACGGGAGGGGGGCGAGAUUGCUGAAGGCAGCUGUCUCUCUAAGAAGCUCUCACUUAAAUGAAGACAAAAGCAUUUCAUUUUAAACAUCAGAUGUUACUGUGCUGUGUUGAAGGCAAGCAUUGGAUGGGAGAAGGUUUCCCUGCAAGAGUAUCAGUACUAUUUCAUGGAAGGCAGAAGUUCCAGUUUUUUUUCCUAGAGAGAUUUUGAAGGCCUCCUUUAUAAACUUUCAAGUUUCUGUUAA